RNAcentral lists this ribosomal RNA (330 nucleotides) under uncultured eukaryote. RNAcentral describes it as "partial 18S ribosomal RNA". It matches the Rfam family "Eukaryotic small subunit ribosomal RNA", at positions 1470 to 1796 of the family's 1831-position model. The record is from RNAcentral.
CCCUUAGAUGUCCUGGGCCGCACGCGCGCUACACUGAUGCAUGCAACGAGUUUAUAACCUUGGCCUGAAAGGUCUGGGUAAUCUUUUGAACGUGCAUCGUGAUAGGGAUAGAUUAUUGCAAUUGUUAAUCUUGAACGAGGAAUUCCUAGUAAACGCGAGUCAUCAGCUUGCGUUGAUUACGUCCCUGCCCUUUGUACACACCGCCCGUCGCUAGUACCGAUUGAAUGGCUUAGUGAGGCUUCAGGAUUUGCUUAGAUCGAGGGGCAACUCUCUUUCAGAGCGGAGAAUCUAGUCAAACUUGGUCAUUUAGAGGAACUAAAAGUCGUAACA